AGUAGCACCUUAGAGACCAACUAAGUUAGUUAUUGGUAUGAGCUUUCGUUUGCAUGCACACUUCUUACAAAUAACUAACUUAGUUGGUCUCUAAGGUGCUACU
This is a non-coding RNA of Podarcis lilfordi (Lilford's wall lizard), 103 nucleotides long. Lineage: Eukaryota; Metazoa; Chordata; Lepidosauria; Squamata; Lacertidae. The record is from the annotation of a GenBank genome assembly.